CAAAAACUAGACACUAGCAGUCCAUCAUGCCACCUUACAUGAAGUGAAUCAAAUAUGCAAAAUGGGAAUAAAAAUGUUAAAAGAAGAAGAAGAAGAAGAAGAAGAAGAAGAAGAACAACAACAACAACAACAAGAACAACAACAACAAUAAGAAGACUAGAAGAAGAAGAAUAAGAAGAAGACUAGAAGAAGAAGAAGAAGAAGAAGAAGAAGAAGAAGAAGACUAGAAGAAGAAGGACAAGAAGAAGUAGAAGAAUAAGAAGAAGAACACUUACCAUCAUCGUCAUCAAGAAGGUGAAGCACAGGGGUUGCUCGGACCAGUUUCACUUGAAGAAGGGGUGUGAGAUGCGGCUCGGUAGUUACGCUGCACCAAAAUUCAUUUGCAAUGUCUUGUUAG
RNAcentral lists this long non-coding RNA (397 nucleotides) under Hordeum vulgare. RNAcentral's name for it is "long non-coding RNA (HVUL_LNC012231)". The record is from RNAcentral. Lineage: Eukaryota; Viridiplantae; Streptophyta; Magnoliopsida; Poales; Poaceae.